GACGAACGCUGGCGGCGUGCUUAACACAUGCAAGUCGAACGAACAGGCCCUGCUCUUGUUGGUUUCUCGAUUGGCGAACGGGUGUGUAACACGCUUGUAUCCUGCCCUUGUCUUUCUGAUAACUUCUCGAAACUGGGGCUCAUACCCGAUAUGAUCUCCUGCUCCACGUUGGGCGUUGGAAAGUUUCGGCUGUUGUGGAUCGACUCGCUGCUUCUCAGCUUCUUGGUGUGGUAGUGGCUUUCCAAGGCUUUGACGGGUAGCCGGCCUGAGAGGGUGACCGGCGACAUGGGGACUGAGAGACGGACCAGAAGCCUACGGGAGGCAGCAGUGGGAAAUAUUGCACAAUGGGCGGAAGCCUGAUGCAGAAACGCUGCGUGCGGGAUGACGGGCUUCGGGGUGUAAACCGAUGUCGACGGUGACGAAGAGUGAGUGACGGUAAUGAGUAAAGAAGCACCGGCUAACUACGUG
Molecule: ribosomal RNA, 468 nt
Filed under: uncultured bacterium
Lineage: Bacteria
Description: partial 16S ribosomal RNA
Rfam family: Bacterial small subunit ribosomal RNA
Source: RNAcentral